This 223-nucleotide long non-coding RNA is filed under the name Phaseolus vulgaris (common bean). RNAcentral describes it as "long non-coding RNA (PVUL_LNC001035)". The record is from RNAcentral. Lineage: Eukaryota; Viridiplantae; Streptophyta; Magnoliopsida; Fabales; Fabaceae.
UUGCUGACGUGUCGAUCUUCUUCUCCUUCGGUCGGUCGUUCCUUCUUAGUGUCUCCUUCGGUCGGGCGGGGGAGGGUACCUGCGAAGGCACUCCGACGCUCAAGUAAGUAUGAGAUUCCAAGUGUGAUUUAGUAAGUGAAUGAAAACGUACCUUUCUCUGGCUUGAGCAUAGUAUUUAUAGGAUUGCCUAAUGGGCUUUCUAUCCCUUGGGCUCAGGGUGGUU